RNAcentral lists this ribosomal RNA (413 nucleotides) under Hoplobatrachus rugulosus (rugose frog). Its description in RNAcentral is "partial 16S ribosomal RNA". It matches the Rfam family "Bacterial large subunit ribosomal RNA", at positions 1834 to 2459 of the family's 2925-position model. The record is from RNAcentral. Lineage: Eukaryota; Metazoa; Chordata; Amphibia; Anura; Dicroglossidae.
CUUGAUCAAAUAUAAGAGGUCCAGCCUGCCCAGUGACAUAGUUAAACGGCCGCGGUACCCUGACCGUGCGAAGGUAGCAUAAUCACUUGUUCCUUAAAUAGGGACUUGUAUGAACGGCAUCACGAGGGCUUUACUGUCUCCUUUCUCCAAUCAGUGAAACUGAUCUCCCCGUGAAGAAGCGGGGAUGAUAAUAUAAGACGAGAAGACCCCAUGGAGCUUUAAACCCAACGACACCCCCCAACUCCCCAACCCAUUUUAGUUGCUACAGUCCUGUUCGUUGGUUUUAGGUUGGGGUGACCGCGGAGUAUAGAUCAACCUCCACGACGAAUGGGACUACCCCCUUACCCAAGAGCUACUCCUCUAAGGAUCAAUAAAUUGACGUAAAAUGAUCCAAGCAUUUGAUCAACGGACCA